ACGUCUCAGUUCGGAUUGCAGGCUGCAACCCGCCUGCAUGAAGCCGGAAUCGCUAGUAAUCGCGGAUCAGAAUGCCGCGGUGAAUACGUUCCCGGGUCUUGUACACACCGCCCGUCACACCAUGGGAGUCGAUAACGCCCGAAGUCAGUGACCCAACCGAGAGGAGGGAGCUGCCGAAGGCGGGAUUGAUAACUGGGGUGAAGUCGUAACAAGGUACC
Molecule: ribosomal RNA, 218 nt
Filed under: uncultured bacterium
Lineage: Bacteria
Description: partial 16S ribosomal RNA
Rfam family: Bacterial small subunit ribosomal RNA
Source: RNAcentral